UGGGGAAUAUUGCGCAAUGGGGGAAACCCUGACGCAGCGACGCCGCGUGCGGGAUGAAGGCCUUCGGGUUGUAAACCGCUUUUGAUUGGGAGCAAGCCUUUUGGGUGAGUGUACCUUUCGAAUAAGCGCCGGCUAACUACGUGCCAGCAGCCGCGGUAAUACGAAGGGGGCUAGCGUUGUUCGGAUUUACUGGGCGUAAAGCGCACGUAGGCGGACUUUUAAGUCAGGGGUGAAAUCCCGGGGCUCAACCCCGGAACUGCCUUUGAUACUGGAAGUCUUGAGUAUGGUAGAGGUGAGUGGAAUUCCGAGUGUAGAGGUGAAAUUCGUAGAUAUUCAGAGGAACACCAGUGGCGAAGGCGGCUCACUGGACCAUUACUGACGCUGAGGUGCGAAAGCGUGGGGAGCAAACAGG
This 412-nucleotide ribosomal RNA is filed under the name Verrucomicrobiota bacterium. Its description in RNAcentral is "Verrucomicrobia bacterium partial 16S ribosomal RNA". It matches the Rfam family "Bacterial small subunit ribosomal RNA", at positions 355 to 776 of the family's 1533-position model. The record is from RNAcentral. Lineage: Bacteria; Pseudomonadati; Verrucomicrobiota.